RNAcentral lists this transfer RNA (69 nucleotides) under Nansenia ardesiaca. RNAcentral's name for it is "tRNA-Phe". It matches the Rfam family "tRNA". Rfam says of the family: Transfer RNA (tRNA) molecules are approximately 80 nucleotides in length. Their secondary structure includes four short double-helical elements and three loops (D, anti-codon, and T loops). The record is from RNAcentral. RNAcentral also lists the same sequence under 3 other names. Lineage: Eukaryota; Metazoa; Chordata; Actinopteri; Argentiniformes; Microstomatidae.
GCUAGCGUAGCUUAACCUAAAGCAUGACACUGAAGAUGUCAAGAUGGGUCCUAGAAAAUCCCGCAAGCA